ACUCACCGCUUAGAUCCUCCAAGGCAUUCCACUCAGAAAAUCACACGGCUGCUGCCCCCACUCCAAAAAAAGGGAGCUGAGAAAAACCCCCAUUUUCCUAUGGAUUUUCAAGCCAAAAAACAAUGGGCUCUGUGGACAGAUGUCACCCCUCCCCCAGGCCAUGCCCCUCACUGCCAGGCAGGGGAAGCAGAGGCGAAGGAGGAGGGCCCACUGCGCCCUAGGACUUGGGAAUAGCUCUCAGCACCACGGUGGUGGGCUCCAUUGUAUGUCUUCCAGGACAGGGGCCCCUUCUUCUGGAAAGUACCCCCUCCCUAGCACAAAUCAGAGUCCAGAUGUGAGCAGGCAUCAGUUCAGCUCUUCCCAAGCCGCAGUGUUUGAGCCAAUGAUGGUCACCUGGCCCCAGUGAAGGCCGUGAAGGCCCCUCUCUGUCCCUUUCUGGCAGUGAAGUCAUGAGGUACAAUAAGCAAAAGCUGCCAUCGUGCACAUUACCUGCCAUAGAGAGGAAGCUUAGCAAAGAGAUUUAGAUCAGUAUUCAGAGGAAGUUGAGGCGUGAGAAAAGAGAGAGCACGUGGCAGUGUUGGCUCCCAGUUGCAGGUGUCCAGGGUCACACAAAGCCCCCUUUUAAAAGCCCAGGCUGGUUUGACUUGCAUUUCUCUCUCUAGAAGCUCUCAAGUCCUUGUUGAAUAUGGCAGUGACUGGAUGCUGGCCAUCCUACCUGAACUAGACCAGCCGAGCCUCUGCUCUGGCCAAGCAAAUGGGAGGAGAUGGAGGGAGAAAAGAGGAAAUGGGAGAGACUGGGCCGGAAGAAGAACCCCUGUCCAAGGUGAUGGAGGGCGUCGGAACACAGAACACCUGUAGCAGUUUUGCAGAGGGCUUCCAAUUCUUUAUCAAGCCUGCACCCGACUCUUAGGUUAUACAGUCUUAGGCACAAGCAAUUAUCUGAAUAAUUGGAGUGUUUCUUAGAAGAGGUUUUAGGUGUCAGCAGCGAUGUCUGUUCAGACGGCACACUAGUGACAGAUCCUUGGAAAACUCCAUGCUCUAGAAGAAAAAGCCAAUCCUGACUUUUCACUUCGGAAUGUCUCAGCUCCCCACCUGACCCU
RNAcentral lists this long non-coding RNA (1100 nucleotides) under Homo sapiens (human). RNAcentral describes it as "non-protein coding lnc-GGPS1-16:1". Lineage: Eukaryota; Metazoa; Chordata; Mammalia; Primates; Hominidae. The record is from RNAcentral.